CAGUAGCCGCGGGAAUACGAGGGGAGCUAGCGUUGUUCGGAAUUACUGGGCGUAAAGCGCGCGUAGGCGGCUUUUUAAGUCAGAGGUGAAAGCCCGGGGCUCAACCCCGGAAUUGCCUUUGAAACUGGAAAGCUAGAAUCUUGGAGAGGUCAGUGGAAUUCCGAGUGUAGAGGUGAAAUUCGUAGAUAUUCGGAAGAACACCAGUGGCGAAGGCGACUGACUGGACAAGUAUUGACGCUGAGGUGCGAAAGCGUGGGGAGCAAACAGGAUUAGAUACCCGAGUAGUCCCUGUCUCUUAUAC
RNAcentral lists this ribosomal RNA (301 nucleotides) under uncultured bacterium. Its description in RNAcentral is "partial 16S ribosomal RNA". It matches the Rfam family "Bacterial small subunit ribosomal RNA", at positions 509 to 807 of the family's 1533-position model. The record is from RNAcentral.